Molecule: long non-coding RNA, 4593 nt
Organism: Eriocheir sinensis (Chinese mitten crab)
Lineage: Eukaryota; Metazoa; Arthropoda; Malacostraca; Decapoda; Varunidae
Exons: 4
Source: RefSeq, a predicted model, not a curated record
AGGCAACCCUCCGAACAGAACUGGAAACAAACAGAAGGGAGGAAAUUAAAUAUACUCAAGACUUUUAGAAGAAUCGCUAAAAAUUGGAGAAGAAAAGGCAGCACAACCAAGCACAAGAAGACCAUUUAGAGGGGCAAAGGCAACCCUCCGAACAGAACUGGAAACAAACAGAAGGGAGGAAAUUAAAUAUACUCAAGACUUUUGGAAGAAUCGCUUAAAAUUCAGCCAGGCACAAGAAGACCAUUUAGAGGGGCCGCUGCAAAGGCACUCCCUCCGAACUACACUGCACUGAACUGACCUGGUUACGGCGCCUGUACAAGUGACCCGGGAUGGAGUAUUGGCGGCAGGGCAGCUCUACGAAAGCUGCUGUGGGAGUGCUGCCCUCCACAGCAAGCAAGGGGCUGCCCUGCCCAGACCACAGCAAGAGGAGGAAGAGCUCUGCAUUACUAAGUUAAGUACCUCACUAUGACAUUCUGAGGGUUUGGCCUCAUUUUUGCCUUCUAUUUAAAACUUUUUACUUUCUAAUGAACCUUAAUCUUUUUCUCAGCCUGCCUCCUCCUCCUCCUCCUUCAACUUCCUUUACCUCCUUGUGUGAAUCUGUCCGUCCCGAGAUCCGGCGAGACCAUCCCGACGUCGUAACACCCGUUUGGGAGUGGGGGGACUCAUGAAGCUGGGGGCGGCAGCCCUAAGGUGGGGAGGGUUGCGCCGACACCUCCACUCCGUUUCGGCGGAAUGUGGCUGGCUAGGGUGGCCUGAACCACUGUCUGGGUUGUUUGUCGUUCAGUCGGAUUGAGGAUCUGCCUCCCUUGAGGUGCACAUGUCAUAGUGGUGGCAGAAGAGUGAGUGAGUGAAGCUGAUGUCAUCCCGACGUCGUAACACCGUUGGGCGGGGCGGGGCUCUCAUGUCAAGUCUCCCCGCGGUGCACAUGUCACAGAGGUGCAAACAGCAUGGCCUUCUUUCCUAUCUUUUCCCCCUCCUCCUCCUCCACCCCCUCCCCCACACACACCUCCUGCUGUUAUAUCGUCACCCUCAUAAAGUAAUUGCCUAAGUCAUUUUUCAGUGAUUUCCAUUUUUGUUAAGUUGUCUUAGAUAUUCAGGGUUUGAGUGUUCUAGAAUUGCCUUUUUAUUUCUGCCUAAAUCUUAAGCCAAAUGAGAUGAUGACGUUCUCUUCUUGAAAAAUAGAAAAUAACGACUUGGGCGGUUUCUUUACGAAGGUGGCGAGAUUGUAAUAGGUUUUGCACCCUCUAUUUAGGGAUGUGCACUAAUUUUUGUCUCUUCUCUUCCCCUCCUCCUCCCCUGGCUGGCCGGGGAACGGAGGAGGAGCACUAGGACGAGGAGGUGAAGGGAGGCGGAGGGAGAGACGACUCGAGCACAGGGAGGCAAGAGACAAGAAGCAGAGACGCAGGAACAGAAAGGCAGCCAGAUGGUCGAUGCUGUGAAGAGGAGGAAGAUGACUGCAGGAGGCGGUGUGUGUGUGUGUUGGGGAAGGAGACAACAGUACCAUCCUCACACACAGCGGGUUAAGGCCUGCAAGAGAGCCUAGUCAAUGAAGAGGAAAAGAAGACAAGAAUAAAGAAUAAAGAAGACAAGAAGAAAGAAGAGAGGCAAAACAGGAGGAGGGGAUUUUUUUUCUGUCUAUACCUGAAGUGUGAUGAAUUUACUAAGGGUAUAUUUAAGCCUGAUAUAACGUACUUUAAGGUAUAUUUAAUGGUACAAGUGUGUAGCCUACUUUUGCCUGGAGUUGGAGACGGUAAAAUGCUCUCCGACUCCUUUAUUGUGGUGCUGUGUGGUUUGUUUACUGUGGUGCGAUGUGGGUCAUUUACUGUGGUGCGGUGUGGCUCGUUAACUGAGGUGAGGUAUGGUUCGUUUAUUGUGGUGCGGUAUGGUUCGUUUACUGUGGUGCGGUGUGGCUUGUUAAUUAAGGUGAGGUGUGGUCCAUUUAUUGUGGUGCGGUGUGGUUCGUUAAUUAAGGUGAGGUAUGGUUCGUUUAUUGUAGUGCGAUGUGGUUCGUUUACUGUGGUGGGGUGUGGCUCGUUAAUUAAGGUGAGGUGUGGUUCAUUUAUUGUGGUGCGAUGUGGCGUUGCGGACUUUAAUUUCCCUACCACUGCACCAGAUAAGGGUAAGGGGGAGGGGGUGGAGUCAAAUUUUUUUAUAUCCGACUUCACACCCGUGUUAGAGUGUAAGAGUAUUGAUGGAAUAUAUUUAAGGUGCUGGGGGAUACUGUGGUGCUCUCGUCGCGGCAACCCAUUCUGCUUCUACAUAUUAACCCGUACUGCUAACGCAUAGCAACUCGUGUUUUUUUCCGCUGUUGCAACGACCCAUUCUGCUGCAUGACGCAUAGCAACUCGUGUUUUUUCCGCUGCCGCAACGACCUGUUCUGCUGCAUGACGCAUAGCAACCCGUGUUUUUUCCGCUGUUGCAACGACCCGUACUGCUAACGCAUAAUGACCUGUGCUGCUUCUGCUAUUGUAACAACUCUUACUGCAAUAACUUACUGCUGCUUCCAUUUAAAAAUGUAUAAACGCAUAAACCCGCUGUGUUGCCAACUUGUCAACAACCCAACUAAUGAAUUUUCUGAUCAAAGAUCAAAGAGAGGAUUAGGCCUUCAGGGGACACCUCUUAAAUAAAAACGCGCCUGGGACUUUUACCUCAGAGGUGGUGUGGAAAAAAAGUCCAGUCACGAAAAUAAGUAUCUUAUACUCCAUGAAAGUGUCUCAGUCUUAUGAGAACACAAAGGCUGAGAGGGCUCAAACAUUCUGUUGUUUCCCGCAUAUGCUCCCACGUUAACAGUAAGGGUACUAAAUUCCGAUCUCUAUACAAAACAACCAAAUAUACAUAAUAACGACAGAAAGUUAAAUAAAAUGUUUGCCUGCAUUACCCGUCAGCAGCGUAGACGUAACAAGGGUUGAAAAAAUGACUUAUUUAUUACAGCCGCUGGCCAACGCCUUGACCCCAGAGGCUUUGUGUUUGUCUCCGCGUCCUCCGCACUACACUGCACAGAAUCUGGCGAGCCUGGGUUGUGACAGCUAUUUCCCAAAGCCUCCAAGGAUACCAGUCAGGCUUAUGAGUGUUUUUCGUGUUGUUGGGGAAGCUCGCAAAUCUACACCUGGAAAUACUACUACCAACACAACCCAUAUGAAAGCCUUUCCUAAAACAUAAAACCUCUACCAGUGCCUUACCAGAAAGAACCAAAGCUUACCAAAUACCCAAAAAUCUCUACUAUUUGUGGUUGACUCAAGGUAUUGAAUUUUCACUUAUUUUUUUACACUGAAUUUAGUGUCCCUUAUAUGUCUUGUUGGGUCUGUUAUUUGUUCUAUAUAUAAGGUAUUGAAUUUGCACUUAUUUUUUAUAAUGACGUUAGUGUCCCUCAUAUGUCGUGUCAUUGAGGGAGUGUUUGGGUCUAUUAUUUGUUCUAUAUAUAAGGUAUUGAAUUUCCACUGAUUUUUUAUGUUACUGUCCCUCAUAUGUUGUGUCAUUGAGGGAGUGUUUGGGUCUAUCAUUUUUGUUUUGAUGCCCCUUUUAUGGAUCUAAAUAAUGACAUCCACCUUUAAAUAAAUGUAUGUGUCUGUGGUCAUCCCAAAGCUGAAGGUUGGUAUCUACUCCACUGUUUUUCAUGUUUUCUCGGACAGUUCAUAUUAUUAGCAAAUGUUUUUACCCGUCCGCUGUGAUUGGCACGAAUUUCGCCUUCACUGGUAACCUGGUAACAUGUACUCCCAGAUCAUUCUCUGCCUCUGUGGUGGAUAGUGGAGUGUUUCCCAUGUGGUAUUGGUGUGCUGGAUAUCCCUUCACUGGUAGCCUGGUAACAUAUGUACUCCCAGAUCAUUCUUUGUCUCUGUGGUGGAUAGUGGAGUGCUUCCCACGUGGUACUGGUGUGGUGGAUAUCCCCUCCCAAGGUGCAGGACUAUAUUUUUCUUCACUGAAUUGUAGCAGCCACUUUUUGCUCCACUCCUGUAGCUUGGUGAUGUCUUCUUGUAGGAAAUCCACAGUGAAGGGUUUAAGCAAAUGAGGUUUUACCCUCCCAUGACCAGUGUACAGAAGGGACCCUGUAGUUGUUUGAAGGAAUAUUACCGGAUUGAUUAACUAGAUGGUACAUAUUAGAUUAGGGCAAAAUGUGAGAAUGGGGGCAGGAGACUGGCUUCAACUAGAGGGUAUAAUACAGAAUGACCUUGUAGUUGUUUGAAGGAAUAUUACUGGACUUGGGAGAGAGGGUGGAGGGAGGAGGAAAAAUAUUGAUAAUAGACGAUAAUGGGAAAGUGAUACAGUGAUGAUGGUGUUGAUGGUGGUCAAUGUAAUAGUGAUCCUUUAUAUGGUGAUGAAGGGGAAGGUGAUAGGUACUGGUGAUGAUGGUAAUGGUGAUGUUAUAGUGAUGGAGGGAUACUUGAAAUGAGGCAGUGCUGGUGAUGCGUUAUAAUGAUGGAGGGAGGGAUGUGGCAGGUGGCUGGAUGAGAGGGGAAGGGGAGGUGAGGGGAAGAGGAGGAAGCGUGGGGGGUGAAUGGGUAAGAAGGGAGAAGGGAGGGGAUGGGGGCAGGAGAUGAAUACAUAGGAAGAACAGACACCAGAAGACCUAUCAGUCUAUGGCGAGGGUGUCUGUUU